This 267-nucleotide ribosomal RNA is filed under the name uncultured bacterium. RNAcentral describes it as "partial 16S ribosomal RNA". It matches the Rfam family "Bacterial small subunit ribosomal RNA", at positions 793 to 1055 of the family's 1533-position model. The record is from RNAcentral.
GUCCACGCCCUAAACGAUGGAUACUAGACGUAAGAGGUAUCGACCCCUCUUGUGUCGCAGCUAACGCACUAAGUAUCCCGCCUGGGGAGUACGGCCGCAAGGUUGAAACUCAAAUGAAUUGACGGGGACCCGCACAAGCGGUGGAGCAUGUGGAUUAAUUCGAUACUAACCGAAGAACCUUACCCAGGUUUGACAUCGAUUGUAAGCCUCAGAGAUGGGGCCCUCCCCCACAAGGGGACAUGAAGACACUUGUUGCAUGGCUGUCGU